GAUGAACGCUGGCGGCGUGCCUAAUACAUGCAAGUCGAGCGAAUGGAUUAAGAGCUUGCUCUUAUGAAGUUAGCGGCGGACGGGUGAGUAACACGUGGGUAACCUGCCCAUAAGACUGGGAUAACUCCGGGAAACCGGGGCUAAUACCGGAUAACAUUUUGAACCGCAUGGUUCGAAAUUGAAAGGCGGCUUCGGCUGUCACUUAUGGAUGGACCCGCGUCGCAUUAGCUAGUUGGUGAGGUAACGGCUCACCAAGGCAAGGAUGCGUAGCCGACCUGGGAGGGUGGUCGGCCACACUUGGACUGAUACACGGCCCAGACGCCUACGGGAGGCAGCAGUAGGGAAUCUUCCGCAAUGGACGAAAGUCUGACGGAGCAACGCCGCGUGAGUGAUGAAGGCUUUCGGGUCGUAAAACUCUGUUGUUAGGGAAGAACAAGUGCUAGUUGAAUAAGCUGGCACCUUGACGGUAUCUAACCAGAAAGCCACGGCUAACUACGUGCCAGCAGCCGCAGUAA
This 515-nucleotide ribosomal RNA is filed under the name uncultured bacterium. RNAcentral's name for it is "partial 16S ribosomal RNA". It matches the Rfam family "Bacterial small subunit ribosomal RNA", at positions 28 to 523 of the family's 1533-position model. The record is from RNAcentral.